UGAGAGGUAGUGUACGGUACACAACAGGUUUUUGACUCCUGUAGAUUAAGGUUCAAUUCCUUUCCUUUCAA
RNAcentral lists this transfer RNA (71 nucleotides) under Melaenis sp. YZ-2018. Its description in RNAcentral is "tRNA-Gln". It matches the Rfam family "tRNA". From Rfam's summary of the family: Transfer RNA (tRNA) molecules are approximately 80 nucleotides in length. Lineage: Eukaryota; Metazoa; Annelida; Polychaeta; Phyllodocida; Polynoidae. The record is from RNAcentral.